Molecule: ribosomal RNA, 433 nt
Filed under: uncultured bacterium
Lineage: Bacteria
Description: partial 16S ribosomal RNA
Rfam family: Bacterial small subunit ribosomal RNA
Source: RNAcentral
AACGAACGCUGGCGGCAUGCCUAACACAUGCAAGUCGAACGAGACCUUCGGGUCUAGGGGCGCACGGGUGCGUAACGCGUGGGAACCUGCCCUUAGGUUCGGAAUAACUCCCCGAAAGGGGUGCUAAUACCGGAUAAUGUCUUCGGACCAAAGAUUUAUCGCCUUUGGAUGGGCCCGCGUUGGAUUAGCUAGUUGGUAGGGUAAAAGCCUACCAAGGCGACGAUCCAUAGCUGGUCUGAGAGGAUGAUCAGCCACACUGGGACUGAGACCCGGCCCAGACUCCUACGGGAGGCAGCAGUGGGGAAUAUUGGACGAUGGGCGAAAGCCUGAUCCAGCAAUGCCGCGUGAGUGAUGAAGGCCUUAGGGUUGUAAAGCUCUUUUACCCGGGAUGAUAAUGACAGUACCGGGAGAAUAAGCUCCGGCUAACUCCGUG